GAUGAACGCUAGCUACAGGCUUAACACAUGCAAGUCGAGGGGCAGCAUGAACUUAGCUUGCUUAAGUUUGAUGGCGACCGGCGCACGGGUGAGUAACGCGUAUCCAACCUGCCCCGAGGUCAGGGACAGCCCGGCGAAAGUCGGAUUAAUACCCUAUGUUGUUCGAAGAGGACAUCUGAUUUGAACCAAAGACUUGUCGCUAAGGGAUGGGGAUGCGUCUGAUUAGGUUGUUGGCGGGGUAACGGCCCACCAAGCCAUCAAUCAGUAGGGGUUCUGAGAGGAAGGUCCCCCACAUUGGAACUGAGACACGGUCCAAACUCC
This 321-nucleotide ribosomal RNA is filed under the name uncultured Prevotella sp. Its description in RNAcentral is "bacterial SSU rRNA". It matches the Rfam family "Bacterial small subunit ribosomal RNA", at positions 28 to 339 of the family's 1533-position model. The record is from RNAcentral. Lineage: Bacteria; Pseudomonadati; Bacteroidota; Bacteroidia; Bacteroidales; Prevotellaceae.